AGAAUCCAAAGGCGAAGAAGGGAAGGAUGAUAAGGCGAAGACGGACGAAGAAAAGAAAGAAGGGGAUGGUGGUAAAGGGGAAGGCGAA
RNAcentral lists this small RNA (88 nucleotides) under Arabidopsis thaliana (thale cress). RNAcentral's name for it is "ATSL305340". The record is from RNAcentral. Lineage: Eukaryota; Viridiplantae; Streptophyta; Magnoliopsida; Brassicales; Brassicaceae.